RNAcentral lists this ribosomal RNA (546 nucleotides) under uncultured bacterium. RNAcentral describes it as "partial 16S ribosomal RNA". It matches the Rfam family "Bacterial small subunit ribosomal RNA", at positions 355 to 895 of the family's 1533-position model. The record is from RNAcentral.
UGGGGAAUUUUGGACAAUGGGCGAAAGCCUGAUCCAGCAAUGCCGCGUGUGUGAAGAAGGCCUUCGGGUUGUAAAGCACUUUUGUCCGGAAAGAAAUCCUUGGCUCUAAUACAGUCGGGGGAUGACGGUACCGGAAGAAUAAGCACCGGCUAACUACGUGCCAGCAGCCGCGGCAAUACGUAGGGUGCAAGCGUUAAUCGGAAUUACUGGGCGUAAAGCGUGCGCAGGCGGUUUGCUAAGACCGAUGUGAAAUCCCCGGGCUCAACCUGGGAACUGCAUUGGUGACUGGCAGGCUAGAGUAUGGCAGAGGGGGGUAGAAUUCCACGUGUAGCAGUGAAAUGCGUAGAGAUGUGGAGGAAUACCGAUGGCGAAGGCAGCCCCCUGGGCCAAUACUGACGCUCAUGCACGAAAGCGUGGGGAGCAAACAGGAUUAGAUACCCUGGUAGUCCACGCCCUAAACGAUGUCAACUAGUUGUUGGGGAUUCAUUCCUUAGUAACGUAGCUAACGCGUGAAGUUGACCGCCUGGGGAGUACGGUCGCAAGAUU